RNAcentral lists this ribosomal RNA (509 nucleotides) under uncultured bacterium. RNAcentral's name for it is "partial 16S ribosomal RNA". It matches the Rfam family "Bacterial small subunit ribosomal RNA", at positions 355 to 856 of the family's 1533-position model. The record is from RNAcentral.
UGGGGAAUUUUGGACAAUGGGCGCAAGCCUGAUCCAGCAAUGCCGCGUGCAGGAUGAAGGCCUUCGGGUUGUAAACUGCUUUUGUACGGAACGAAAAGCCUCUCUCUAAUACAGGGGGGUGAUGACGGUACCGUAAGAAUAAGCACCGGCUAACUACGUGCCAGCAGCCGCGGUAAUACGUAGGGUGCAAGCGUUAAUCGGAAUUACUGGGCGUAAAGCGCGCGCAGGCGGUUUUGUAAGACAGUGGUGAAAUCCCCGGGCUCAACCUGGGAACUGCCAUUGUGACUGCAAGGCUGGAGUGCGGCAGAGGGGGAUGGAAUUCCGCGUGUAGCAGUGAAAUGCGUAGGUAUGCGGAGGAACACCGAUGGCGAAGGCAAUCCCCUGGGCCUGNACUGACGCUCAUGCACGAAAGCGUGGGGAGCAAACAGGAUUAGAUACCCUGGUAGUCCACGCCCUAAAACGAUGUCAACUGGUUGUUGGGGAUUUAUUUCUUCAGUAACGAAGCUAAC